Molecule: ribosomal RNA, 447 nt
Filed under: uncultured bacterium
Lineage: Bacteria
Description: bacterial SSU rRNA
Rfam family: Bacterial small subunit ribosomal RNA
Source: RNAcentral
UCGGGAAUUUUGGGCAAUGGGGGAAACCCUGACCCAGCAACGCCGCGUGAAGGAUGAAGUAUUUCGGUAUGUAAACUUCGAAAGAAUAGGAAGAAUAAAUGACGGUACUAUUUAUAAGGUCCGGCUAACUACGUGCCAGCAGCCGCGGUAAUACGUAGGGUGCAAGCGUUAAUCGGAAUUACUGGGCGUAAAGCGUGCGCAGGCGGUUGCGUAAGUCAGAUGUGAAAUCCCCGGGCUCAACCUGGGAAUUGCAUUUGAGACUGCACGGCUAGAGUGUGUCAGAGGGGGGUAGAAUUCCACGUGUAGCAGUGAAAUGCGUAGAUAUGUGGAGGAAUACCGAUGGCGAAGGCAGCCCCCUGGGAUAACACUGACGCUCAUGCACGAAAGCGUGGGGAGCAAACAGGAUUAGAUACCCACGUAGUCCCUGAGCGGGCUGGCAAGGCGCAU